Molecule: ribosomal RNA, 292 nt
Filed under: uncultured bacterium
Lineage: Bacteria
Description: partial 16S ribosomal RNA
Rfam family: Bacterial small subunit ribosomal RNA
Source: RNAcentral
CAGCAUGGCCUUUAUAUCCAGGGCUACACACACGCUACAAUGGUCGGUACAACGGGUUGCAAGACCGCAAGGUGGAGCCAAUCCUCAAAAUCGGCCUCAGUUCAGAUUGCAGGCUGCAACUCGCCUGCAUGAAGUCGGAGUUGCUAGUAACCGCGCGUCAGCAUUAGUGCGGUGAAUACGUUCCCGGGCGUUGUACACACCGCCCGUCACGUCAUGGAAGCUGAUAACACCUGAAGUCGGUAUCCUAACCGCAAGGAGGGGGCCGCCCAAGGUGGGAUUGGUAACUGGGACG